UACGGGGGGGGCAAGCGUUGUUCGGAAUUACUGGGCGUAAAGGGCUCGUAGGUGGCCAACUAAGUCAGACGUGAAAUCCCUCGGCUUAACCGGGAAACUGCGUCUGAUACUGGAUGGCUUGAGAUUGGGAGAGGGAUGCGGAAUUCCAGGUGUAGCGGUGAAAUGCGUAGAUAUCUGGAGGAACACCGGUGGCGAAGGCGGCAUCCUGGACCAACACUGACACUGAGGAGCGAAAGCCAGGGGAGCAAACGGG
Molecule: ribosomal RNA, 253 nt
Filed under: uncultured bacterium
Lineage: Bacteria
Description: partial 16S ribosomal RNA
Rfam family: Bacterial small subunit ribosomal RNA
Source: RNAcentral